GUUCAACUGUCCAAGUCAGUCUCCACAGGCUGGUAAUGGGUUAAGAAGAAACAUUUCACUGCUGUUCUGGCUUGUCCUAGAUGCCAACCGAGGACCGUGCAGACCUACAUGAUGUGUUUCUCAUGUAUGUGAAUCCCCAUCAGGACCAUCUGCCAGUGUUUGGACACGAGUUGAAGGUGAUAUUAAAGCAGAUGUUAG
Sinocyclocheilus rhinocerous is the source of this 198-nucleotide long non-coding RNA. RefSeq lists it as uncharacterized. NCBI's taxonomy places the organism in Eukaryota, Metazoa, Chordata, Actinopteri, Cypriniformes, Cyprinidae. The record is from RefSeq and is a predicted model, not a curated record. The transcript has 3 exons.